RNAcentral lists this transfer RNA (72 nucleotides) under Ferruginibacter sp. RNAcentral describes it as "tRNA-Met". It matches the Rfam family "tRNA". From Rfam's summary of the family: Transfer RNA (tRNA) molecules are approximately 80 nucleotides in length. Their secondary structure includes four short double-helical elements and three loops (D, anti-codon, and T loops). Lineage: Bacteria; Pseudomonadati; Bacteroidota; Chitinophagia; Chitinophagales; Chitinophagaceae. The record is from RNAcentral.
UGCGAAGUAGAGCAGCGGUAGCUCGUCGGGCUCAUAACCCGAAGGUCACUGGUUCGAUCCCGGUCUUCGCAA